Molecule: long non-coding RNA, 2228 nt
Organism: Lolium perenne
Lineage: Eukaryota; Viridiplantae; Streptophyta; Magnoliopsida; Poales; Poaceae
Source: RefSeq, a predicted model, not a curated record
UUCUUCCUUCUCUUUUCUGGCCCAAGGCCCCCGUACCGGUUCGGCCUUCUCUGUUUCUCCUUCCCUUCCUCGUCAUCGAUAGACAGCGACAGUAGGAGAUGUCCCUACACGCCCACGCUCCCCGCGUGAGAUCUCCCCCUCCUACUUUUUAUCCUGGACCACGCCUCGUCCUCCUUCCUAUCCUCCCAAACCACUCUGCUUCUCUCGCACGUCUCUCACCCCUCCAUCUUUUCUUCUACCUCACGAAAGGAAACCGACACAGAAGAAAACCCCACAGCAACCACCAACCUCACCAUGGCGCCGCCGCUCUACUGCGUCCCCUGCCGUUCCGAGGGCACCGGCGGAUGCGCCUCGCCGCCCUCUCCAUCCUCCUGCAAGGAAUCGACCUGCGGUGCCUCAUAUCGUCUCCACGUUCGCCGUUCCCCCGCCAUGCCCGGCGCGCUUCGGCGAGAAAUCCGUCGCCGUCCGACCUCCUCCGGCCUCACCAACUCCUCCACGUCCUUCCUGGUGCUCGUCGCCGGCCAUCCUCCGGUGGUUCCCCGGUGCCCGGACCACCACCAACAGACUCACCUUGAUCCCCUGCAGCGAAUGCGCCAUCUCGCGCGUCCCGUCUCGCCUUAAAUCGUCGGAAUUCGUGGUCGUUUGGAUCUCAGACCGCCAUGGCCGAGCUGCCUAAGCUCCGCUUCAUCUGCCCUGUUCCGUACAACAAUCGAUCAGUAGCGUAGUGAUCGGGCGCUUGAUGGGUCUUGGCCAAGUUUCUCCGACGCAGCCCAUCGCCCGCGCGGCCCAGUUUUUCCCGUCGCCGAUGCAGACCAAAUCCGGCCCAGGACAGCGCAGCAUUUGCUUCUUCCCGGAUAGGAUCACGAAGUGUUGAUGUGAGAUACGACGAGUUCUCCGACAAGUUCUUCUGCAGCUUUUCUCAGGCGAGCCCUCUCUCUUCACCUAUUUUACUCUCUCCCUCGCACUGCUAUCCUUAUGUUGCGAUUCCUUAUCGAGUCACGUGUCCUAUUCCACUUGUUUACCAUAAUAAUCCUAUAUGCACCAUUCCUUACCCAUAGUCGUUGCUUGAUGUUUGAGCCUUGCGAGUCGUAGGCGUAUUUAGGCUCUGUUGUUUAUCUCGAUCUGUUAUCGGGAUAUGUUGGGUUGUUGGGAGGUUAUUACAUGCUAUAUCAGUUGUUGGAGAUACACAUGCUUUACUUAAUUGUUAACAACUAAAAUUGUAAGCAGAGGCAUCUAUGAGCCCCUUUGCGAAAGCAUCGGAACUUUGACUCACUAAUGUCCCCUAGGACCCGAGUUCUUGUUAUCUGUUCCGAGACUGAGCGCUCUAUCCACACGUGGGUAUGCUUACCGGGUCUCCCCUCGACCACUGCCGGAAUCUACAGCUUUCUCCAGUGGCCACAACUAGUUUGAAUGUUUGUUUGUUUCUCUCGGGCGUGCAAGCAUGUUUCUUUGUGGUCAGAUGAUAUGAUGUUACUUUUGGGGAAGCCAUGUGUGCCUUGUAUCCCCGUUGUCUCUUGCACGUCCGUAGGUGCGACACGUAUUGUUAAGUGGUCAUCCUCUAGUGGGCUCCGAUCCUCUUAGCCGUUCUCGCAACAGCUAGGUCCGCGUCGGAGUUCCGAUCGGGCUCUGAAACGGAUUUAACCUAGAUAGGUGGCUUCCUGGACAUUGUUGUCGUGAAGGAGAGUGCGUGUCGUGAUAUCCACAUGUCGCAAGUGGGUUGAGCGUGCGUGUGUGCACAUUUGGGCACCCCUCCAGGGUUACAAUCUUAUCGAUAAGCCGUGUCCGCAGUUAUGGAUGACUUGGAAUUGUAUAGCUUGAUCAUAGAACAACUUACACCUUAUACUUGUUGUUAAUAAUCUGAUAAUAACUUGCAUAGUAAUAUAGCACCACUACAACCGAUACCUAAUAAAACUUGUCCACCGUUGAGUGCCUUUUACAUUGCUUCUUCGCAAUUGUUGAAGGGGAUAUGUGUAAUCGGCUAGGUUAUGAUUGUGUAGUAUUUUAUCUUUUACCUUGUGCGCUCUCUUAUCUUCUCUGAUUAGACGGAUGUUGUAGCGUGUCUCUAUUGGUUAUAGUUUUGCUGCCGCUAAACCUACUAUAUAGCCCCAGGCGUUAUAUAUUUAUACUCGCCCGGCGAGCAUAGCCAUUUCUAGUCUCGCUAAGUACGUGCCGGAGUUCGUUCCUUGGUACUUACUCUCGCCUUUUCCCUUUCUCUUUUGCUUCCUCCC